CUUCUUUAUCCGAGGAAACACCAAAAUAAUCAGCACUCAACUCGUGAACACCUUGCCCAGGCUCGCUGGCUCAUGAGGGCAGAGUCUCGACAAGGAACCACUACUAGAGUCAAGGACAAGUCUCCCCCAAGCCCGACACCAUGAAGGCCUCGACAGUGAUGAUCGUCUUCGCAUUCUGUCUGAUCAUCAAAGGAGCUGAAAAUACAGGUGAUACCACUUUAACAUCAUCAACAGGGAAACUGACAUCUACUCCAGCUGGAGAAAAUAUGGUGGCUACUUCCCCUUCCUCUACAGUGCACACAACAACUACAGCAGUAACAACAGAACCCACAGGAAAAGCAAAUACAAAUUCAGCAACAACAAACCUUAACAGAACUGAAAAUGAAACGAAAUCAGGUGAUACCACUACAACAUCAUCAACAGGGAAACUGACAUCUACUCCAAUUGGAGGUAA
This is a non-coding RNA of Paramormyrops kingsleyae, 454 nucleotides long. The record is from RefSeq and is a predicted model, not a curated record. NCBI's taxonomy places the organism in Eukaryota, Metazoa, Chordata, Actinopteri, Osteoglossiformes, Mormyridae.